Small nuclear RNA from Saimiri boliviensis boliviensis (Bolivian squirrel monkey), 107 nucleotides. Lineage: Eukaryota; Metazoa; Chordata; Mammalia; Primates; Cebidae. The record is from Ensembl.
GUGUUCACUUCAGUGGCUCAUAUGCUAAAAUUGGAGUGAUACAGAGAAGAUUAGUAUGGCCCCUGUGCAAGGAUGACACACGAAUUCAUGAAGCAUUCUAUAAUAAA